UUAAUAAAUGCCAAAGCAAAACCCUAAAACUAUCAGCCGUUUUCCUAAUCUAAAAAAGAACUAAAGAAAAGAGAGAAAAACUCUCUUUGCACCGUUCCAAAGACUGGCCGUCCAAGGGCUCUCUGAACGAUUGUCUGGCUCCGAUUGCAGCAGAGUAAACGUCGCUCAGAUGACAGGUAAACUCUCACUCUUCCUUUGUUUCUUUUUUUCCAACAGUGAAUAAAAGAAAAAGAAAGCAAAGAAUCGAAAAAAAGAUCGAGAAAAUAAACAGAAAAUAAAACUCGAAAUCACCUUCAAAAUCUGAUUUUCUUUUUCCUCUUUUUUCAUUCAAAAUCGUCCCUCUUUUUACAAACGAAUCAACAGGCUUUAUAUAGCCCAAAAUACAGAAUAAAAAAUAAAAAGAAAAAUACAAAAUCCUCUCUGCUAUUUUGUUUCUUUCUUUUUCGUUGUUUCUGUUGCGUUGUUUGGCUCUGUCUGCAGGUGCGGCAUACGGGGACCUAUGCGGAGGUACGGAGGUGUGCGUAGCUCGUAGGGUCCGUGAGUAAAGAGGCGCGUGCGGGCAGCGGCUCGAAGGCGCGGUUCGUGCGAGGGCAGAGCCUGGUUGCGGCGCUGGGGGUUUGCUGCUAGGGUUUCCGCAAUCUCUUUGUGUUGGGCUUGUAACACAAUUGGGCUAGGGAUUGGGCCAUUCGGGUUUAGUAUUGGGUCAGAUUAGGUUUGGGCUUAAUUGGGUUUGGGUUAUAAUUUUGGGCUAGCUAAAAUUUGUUAAUGGACUGCUAUUUCAUUGGACUCUUUUUUAAUUUGGUUUAUUUUAUUGUGUGGACCCGGGUCAAAAUUGAGCAUUACAAUAAUAAUUUUAUUUUUCACAAAUAAACACAAUACAAAUACAAACUCUCUUUUUCUCUCUAUACUAGCUACUACUAGUUUUCUAUCUCUCACAAUUUUUUCUCACUUUUACUGCACUUUUUUUUUUCUCUCAAUGCUCUCUCAC
Molecule: long non-coding RNA, 988 nt
Filed under: Gossypium barbadense (sea-island cotton)
Lineage: Eukaryota; Viridiplantae; Streptophyta; Magnoliopsida; Malvales; Malvaceae
Description: long non-coding RNA (GBAR_LNC018320)
Source: RNAcentral